RNAcentral lists this ribosomal RNA (465 nucleotides) under uncultured bacterium. RNAcentral describes it as "partial 16S ribosomal RNA". It matches the Rfam family "Bacterial small subunit ribosomal RNA", at positions 339 to 795 of the family's 1533-position model. The record is from RNAcentral.
CUACGGGGUGCAGCAGUGAGGAAUUUUGCGCAAUGGGGGAAACCCUGACGCAGCAACGCCGCGUGAGUGAAGAAGGCCCUUGGGUCGUAAAGCUCUGUCAAUGGGGAAGAAGUUACUUGGUAUUAAUAGUGCCUUGUAUUGACGGUACCCAUGAAGGAAGCACCGGCUAACUCCGUGCCAGCAGCCGCGGUAAUACGGGGGGUGCAAGCGUUAUUCGGAAUUAUUGGGCGUAAAGGGCACGCAGGCGGUCCUGUCAGUCAGAUGUGAAAGCCCGGGGCUCAACCCCGGACGUGCAUUUGAAACAGCAGGACUUGAGUACGGGAGAGGAAAGGGGAAUUCCUGGUGUAGAGGUGAAAUUCGUAGAUAUCAGGAGGAACACCGGUGGCGAAGGCGCCUUUCUGGACCGAUACUGAUGCUGAGGUGCGAAGGCGUGGGUAGCGAACGGGAUUAGAUACCCUUGUAGUC